CAUAAUAGUAUGAAGCCUUUCAUAUAGUGCUGUUCACUUCUUAAAUAUUGUAGUAAAAUUAAUCUAGCUUUUCUAGCAGUCUUCCUGCAAAGAAGGCCAGAAGUAAAGGAGGGAAAACUGAUCUUUGAGGGAUCAGGAUCUGCAGUACCUCUAAGUACACUUCAAAUGCAGGUUAAAAAGAUAGAAGUUAAGAAUUCAAACAGAAGCAGGUUCUUACUGAGGUCAGAGCUGCAGUCUGACCCCACCAGUCUGUUUCUGAUAGUGACAGUGCAAGAUACUAAAUCAUAUUAUAACAUUGGAAACUGUUUUCCUUUAUUGUAUCUAAUUUCUCUUUUCAAUAACACCGGUAGUACAGAUAAUGCUGUCAGCCUGGAGAACCUUUGUGAUGACACAUUUCCCAAGUUCACUACCUGCUGUCUAAAUGAGGGUAGCUGCUUCAGUCCUUGGCUGUACAUGUCUAACUCUGCUGUGUCUUCCCUGAGAUGCAGAGACUGGAACUACAAGUAGCAAUUGUGCUAUGUUGAAUGGAUGCCCUGAAUUUUAUCACUGUAAGUGGAAGAGGGAUUACAGAGUAAGACGGGUGUAGUUUGUUGUGUGCUGUUUGGUAUGGAAUAUCUCAAGUUUGGUAUUCAGAAUUAUUGUUUCUGCAAUUGAGUAGCACUUCAGCUUCAGGAGCAGAGACUGUUCUCACAUGCAUUAAUUUCAUAACAAGCCCAGAAAUGGAGAAGGUGGUGCACCAAUUCAUGACCAGCUCAACAGCCAUGACAUGAAAGAGUAAAUUUAGUAUAUAAUACAUUUUUUGACAAAACUUCAUUAAUUUCUGCUCAGAACUGAUCCAGGAACUUCUUUUUAGUCAGUCAUGCAAGUAAGGGAGUUAAUGUAUCUGUUACUUUCAGUGUUUUUUGCAGAGAAAAUCAAUGUAAAGACAAAUAUACUUUUCAUUGUUACAGUGUGGAAUUGUUACACUAU
This 969-nucleotide long non-coding RNA is filed under the name Cyanistes caeruleus (blue tit). RNAcentral's name for it is "lncRNA (ENSCCEG00000005672.1)". Lineage: Eukaryota; Metazoa; Chordata; Aves; Passeriformes; Paridae. The record is from RNAcentral.